Molecule: ribosomal RNA, 301 nt
Filed under: uncultured bacterium
Lineage: Bacteria
Description: partial 16S ribosomal RNA
Rfam family: Bacterial small subunit ribosomal RNA
Source: RNAcentral
CAGUAGCCGCGGUAAUACGAAGGGUGCAAGCGUUACUCGGAAUUAUUGGGCGUAAAGGGUGCGUAGGCGGUUUGGCAAGUUUGGUGUGAAAUCUUCGGGCUCAACUCGAAGUCUACAUCGAAAACUGCCGGGCUUGAGUAUGGGAGAGGUGAGUGGAAUUUCCGGUGUAGCGGUGAAAUGCGUAGAUAUUGGAAGGAACACCUGUGGCGAAAGCGGCUCACUGGACCAUAACUGACGCUGAUGCACGAAAGCUAGGGGAGCAAACAGGAUUAGAUACCCCGGUAGUCCCUGUCUCUUAUAA